AUUGAACGCUGGCGGCAGGCCUAACACAUGCAAGUCGAGCGGAGCGGCGGACGGGUGAGUAAUGCCUAGGAAUCUGCCUGGUAGUGGGGGAUAACGUCCGGAAACGGGCGCUAAUACCGCAUACUAUCAGAUGAGCCUAGGUCGCAUUAGCUAGUUGGUGGGGUAAAGGCCUACCAAGGCGACGAUCCGUAACUGGUCUGAGAGGAGGACCAGCCACACUGGAACUGAGACACGGUCCAGAAUCCGACGUGAGGCAGCAGUAGGGAAUAUUUGCCAAUGGGCGAACGCCUGCUCCAGCCAUGCCGCGUGUGUGAAGAAGGUCUUCGGAUUGUAAAGCACGUUAAGUUGGGAGGCGUUACCAACAGAAUAAGCUCCGGCUAACUUCGUGCCAGCCGCCGCGGUAAUUC
RNAcentral lists this ribosomal RNA (407 nucleotides) under uncultured bacterium. Its description in RNAcentral is "partial 16S ribosomal RNA". It matches the Rfam family "Bacterial small subunit ribosomal RNA", at positions 30 to 526 of the family's 1533-position model. The record is from RNAcentral.